CGGCACGCCUUAACAUGCAAGUCGAACGAAGUAGCAAUACUUAGUGGCAGACGGGUGAGUAACAUGUAGGUAUCUUCCCUUUGGUGAGGAAUAACACGAGGAAACUUGUGCUAAUACCUCAUAAGUCUUUACGGAGAAAGCUUUAUGCGCCGAAGGAUGAGCCUGCACUUGAUUAGUUUGUUGGUGGGGUAAUGGCCUACCAAGACUUUGAUCUAUAGCUGAUCUGAGAGGAUGAUCAGCCACAUUGGGACUGAGACACGGCCCAAACUCCUACGGGAGGCAGCAGUAGGGAAUAUUGCACAAUGGAGGAAACUCUGAUGCAGCGAUGCCGCGUGAGUGAAGAAGGCCUUUGGGUUGUAAAGCUCUUUCGUCGGGGAAGAAAAUGACUGUACCCGAAUAAGAAGGUCCGGC
Molecule: ribosomal RNA, 411 nt
Filed under: uncultured bacterium
Lineage: Bacteria
Description: bacterial SSU rRNA
Rfam family: Bacterial small subunit ribosomal RNA
Source: RNAcentral